AUUGAACGCUGGCGGCAUGCUUUACACAUGCAAGUCGAACGGUAACAGGCCUUCGGGUGCUGACGAGUGGCGAACGGGUGAGUAAUGCAUCGGAACGUACCCAGAGGUGGGGGAUAACGCAGCGAAAGCUGUGCUAAUACCGCAUGUGAUCUGAGGAUGAAAGCGGGGGACCGCGCAGCAAUGUUUGGCCUCGCGCCUUUGGAGCGGCCGAUGUCGGAUUAGCUAGUUGGUGGGGUAAAGGCCUACCAAGGCGACGAUCCGUAGCUGGUCUGAGAGGACGACCAGCCACACUGGGACUGAGACACGGCCCAGACUCCUACGGGAGGCAGCAGUGGGGAAUUUUGGACAAUGGGCGCAAGCCUGAUCCAGCAAUGCCGCGUGCGGGAAGAAGGCCUUCGGGUUGUAAACCGCUUUUGGCAGGAACGAAACGGUGUCCGCUAAUACCGGGCGCUAAUGACGGUACCCGCAGAAUAAGCACCGGCUAACUACGUG
RNAcentral lists this ribosomal RNA (492 nucleotides) under uncultured bacterium. RNAcentral's name for it is "partial 16S ribosomal RNA". It matches the Rfam family "Bacterial small subunit ribosomal RNA", at positions 29 to 507 of the family's 1533-position model. The record is from RNAcentral.